This 70-nucleotide transfer RNA is filed under the name Podarcis lilfordi (Lilford's wall lizard). RNAcentral's name for it is "tRNA.Ala". The stretch from base 6 to 62 matches the Rfam family "tRNA", at positions 8 to 63 of the family's 71-position model. From Rfam's summary of the family: Transfer RNA (tRNA) molecules are approximately 80 nucleotides in length. Their secondary structure includes four short double-helical elements and three loops (D, anti-codon, and T loops). Lineage: Eukaryota; Metazoa; Chordata; Lepidosauria; Squamata; Lacertidae. The record is from RNAcentral.
GGCCAUAGCUCAGUGGCAGAGCAUCCGCUUUGCAUGCAGAAGGUCCCAGGUUCAAUCCCCAGCAUCUCCA